Long non-coding RNA from Mangifera indica (mango), 317 nucleotides. RefSeq lists it as uncharacterized. The record is from RefSeq and is a predicted model, not a curated record. NCBI's taxonomy places the organism in Eukaryota, Viridiplantae, Streptophyta, Magnoliopsida, Sapindales, Anacardiaceae. The transcript has 3 exons.
GCGAGCCGAGCCCGAGUUGGCUGCGAGCCGAGCUCGACUCGACUAAAAUCCAGCCCUAAGGAGGACACAUCGGUUAGCCGUUCUGUUGCAUUACCUGUCCAAGCUGAGGUCUUCCUCAUGAGGGUCAUCCGGUCGCUUUAUUUACAGGUUCUUUAGAUCCUCCACAUGAGGGAACCGGUAUUGAUAUAUUAUCGAUCGAAGGUUCUCCCCGAACACCUUCUCCGGAAGUCCAGGUUAUAGGGAUUUAAGAAAUAUCAUUGAUCAAUUUGUUUUUAAUAUUAUAUUUUUUUUAAUGAAGUUUUAUCUCUUUUUCAGGA